GAGGAAGUGAGCAAAAUGUAGAUCAGGCUGGGGGAUCACCCCCAGCCGAAUGACUUGUACAAUUUUUUUGAAAUGAAAUGGAAUGCCUCUUUGUUCAAUGAAUGGUUGUGAUCGGAAAAUUUUAAACCAUUGUUUGUCUGAGUAUUUGAUUGUAUGAGCACAGCAAAACAAAAACUAAAUGUGAUUAUUAAUCUAAGUAUGAGAGAUCGGAAAGCACUUUGAACAUGAGAUCGGUAGGGAAGAAAUGCUGAACAGAACUUGACCGAAAAUUUAACUCGGACACUUAAGAUCGGAAUCGAGCCAAAACUUUAGCUCUUAAACUUUCGGAAAGGAGGUCGGCAAUAAAACUGGUAGGAAAAGAUCUAGUGCCCGUUCAUUUUAUUCAUCAACAGAGAUCAGGAAUAUACCCGACGAGUCCGGAAAUUCGGCAACGGGUUUGAGGGAUCGGUAAAUGAUUUGAGAGAUCGGCGAGGCCUUAAUGAAUAUGAGGACUCAGCAUUAAUUCAAUUCUUUGUGAGGAGAGAUCGGAAAUGUGACCGCCUAUCAAAGAGGGAUCGGAAACGUGGUUAGCUGUUCAAAGAAUUUUUAUUGAUUCUAGGGGUCGGCCAAAAUAUGGUGUCGACAAUACUGUAUCCAAGCUCAUUGUUGGUUUAAAUUUUAUUUCUGCGAUGAAGAUUUUGUUUGCUUCACUUUAGUUAUUUCUUUCGCUCAACUAUAUCAGUGAAAUUCCAUUGUAUGACAGGUCACAAACUACCAUGUUGUUGAU
This 766-nucleotide unclassified non-coding RNA is filed under the name Hevea brasiliensis (rubber tree). The record is from RNAcentral. Lineage: Eukaryota; Viridiplantae; Streptophyta; Magnoliopsida; Malpighiales; Euphorbiaceae.